UAAACCGGAGGAAGCGGGGAUGGCGUCAAGUCCUCAUGGCCUUACAUCCCGGGCUACACACGUGCUACAAUGGCAGGUACAGAGGGCUGCGAAGCCGCGAGGUGGAGCGAAUCCCAGAAAACCUGUCUCAGUCCGGAUUGAAGUCUGCAACUCGACUUCAUGAAGGCGGAAUCGCUAGUAACCGCGAAUCAGCAGGUCGCGGUGAAUACGUUCCCGGGCCUU
This 222-nucleotide ribosomal RNA is filed under the name uncultured Latescibacterota bacterium. RNAcentral describes it as "uncultured Latescibacteria bacterium partial 16S ribosomal RNA". It matches the Rfam family "Bacterial small subunit ribosomal RNA", at positions 1159 to 1382 of the family's 1533-position model. The record is from RNAcentral. Lineage: Bacteria; Pseudomonadati; Candidatus Latescibacterota.